This is an RNA transcript of Physcomitrium patens, 1693 nucleotides long. RefSeq lists it as uncharacterized. NCBI's taxonomy places the organism in Eukaryota, Viridiplantae, Streptophyta, Bryopsida, Funariales, Funariaceae. The record is from RefSeq and is a predicted model, not a curated record.
CAAUAUCCCUUGUGCAAUCAAGCGGUGAGACCUUAACUGCCCUAAAUGAGGGUUUAGGGUUUAUCUGAACUCUGAGGAAUUGUGGGGAAAACACACCCCAUCUGUAAAAAUAGGUCACAUGUUUCCAGUAUUACACGUUCCCAACAUUUGAUUAAAGAGUACAAGGGAUUGUUCGGUGGAGCGGUGUAGUGGUGAUUACUCUGUCUGCUGCGCUGUCUCAAAACCUGACGCGAGGCUUCCAGCACUAUGCUUCAAGCAUGACUUUGCAACAUACCAAGGGAAUCCAAUAUCGGUGACUCGGAUGAUCGAGUUGGAAUUCCUUCGUUCAUAUGCUUGUUUAUCAUCCGAAGCCUUCUGGUUGAUGGUCUUCGGUAUUUUAGUAAGUUUGUGAGGUUCGCAGGAAGAUGCUUCCGUGGCAAAUUCUGGGGCAUGGGUACUUGGAUUCCCUUGAUUGUCAAAGGUUUACGUACUUUUGGGCAGGUUGCUGAAUAAUCUACCGAGAGUUUGCAUCAUCAGAGUAGGAUUAUUUGCCGUGACAGAGGGACAGUGGAAGGUAGGAUCGAAGCUCGUGAGAGGGAAGUGAGUUUGUGAAACUCGAGAACAUUGCUUUCCGCUAAAGCCCACAUCGAUACUUCCAACGAAUUAGGUCAAGUACUUUCAAUUCUAAGCCCGUCAAUCAAACUUGAACAUUAAUUCGGUUUAUUUUGUACGAAUUGAUUGCCGAUGAGUGCAGCCGAUCAUCUCGCUGCCAUGACCUCCGCAUCAUACAUGGGGAGUGCCCCCAGUGAAGAUGGUGUCAAGCCGCCCAUCCAUGAAAGCAGCGCAAUCUUAUUGCUUCUGGGGUCGUUUCUUGCUGCCAUGUCUCCUCUUCUACUAGUACCUCUGUUUUUAACAGACUCCCAAGGCAGAAGAUGGAUUGGAGCGAAGAUUGGCCUCUGUAUCUUUGGAUUUGGAUUUACAACCAUCCUUGGUGUCCUCACAACAACCAACUGGCGUGUAGUGGCUCCUUAUGUUGGCAUGUCUCUUGAGGCCUUGCAGUCCGCCUUUAAUGUGGCAAAAGAGCUACCGGGAGAUUUGGCGGAGUGGCUAGAUUCAGGCAAAGGAUUUUAUCUUCUCAUCAAGACUUUCGUUGCAUUUGCUGUUGUAGCGCUGUUAUGCGGUAGUGCGUUCCCUAUGUUGCAGAGAAGGUUUAACUCUUUGAAAGUAAGGAUCAAAGGGACAGAUGCCAGUUUGGAGCCUCGAAGUGUAAAUGUAAAUUCCCAACUAUUGGAUUCUUCUUUUACCCAGUCGAAAUGCAGAGAGGGAGGAAAUAGCUGCUUCACGCUCAAGGCAGCAACUCGAGCUACAAGAAAAGGCACGUGAGAAGGACGAAUUGCUGCGGCAGCGACGGGUGGCACGAAUCGCCCAAGAAGAGCAAAGAUUACGAAGCUUUGGGAAAAACUUCGGCACAGGUGUUGGACGGUUUGCAAGAUGAUCGGUGACAUCGGGCAAUCUGCACAACUGUGCACUGAACUUCAUUGUCUUUCAUUUCCAGGUGAAGUUCACUGGGGAAAAGAGGUCGAGAUUGUCAAAGGCAAGUGUAGAAUUAGCUCUUAUAUAAAGCAUGAAACCUGGACGACUGGCUGUACAAUGACACAACACUGUAUCAUUUUCAUAAUCUAUAACAAUUGGACAAUAACUAGUGUUUUUGUUA